RNAcentral lists this ribosomal RNA (433 nucleotides) under uncultured bacterium. RNAcentral's name for it is "partial 16S ribosomal RNA". It matches the Rfam family "Bacterial small subunit ribosomal RNA", at positions 29 to 507 of the family's 1533-position model. The record is from RNAcentral.
AACGAACGCUGGCGGCAUGCCUAACACAUGCAAGUCGAACGAGACCUUCGGGUCUAGUGGCGCACGGGUGCGUAACGCGUGGGAACCUGCCCUUAGGUUCGGAAUAACUCCCCGAAAGGGGUGCUAAUACCGGAUAAUGUCUUCGGACCAAAGAUUUAUCGCCUUUGGAUGGGCCCGCGUUGGAUUAGCUAGUUGGUAGGGUAAAAGCCUACCAAGGCGACGAUCCAUAGCUGGUCUGAGAGGAUGAUCAGCCACACUGGGACUGAGACACGGCCCAGACUCCUACGGGAGGCAGCAGGGGGGAAUAUUGGAACAUGGGCGAAAGCCUGAUUCAGCAAUGCCGCGGGAGUGAUGAAGGGCUUAGGGUUGGAAAGCUCUUUUACCCGGGAUGAUAAUGACAGUACCGGGAGAAUAAGCUCCGGCUAACUCCGUG